AGGGUACAUAACAUGUCUAAAAUAUUGUCGUCGCUAAAUACAAAGUGAUGGGCAAAGAAAAAAAUGGAUGAAGAUCAGGAAAGUACUGCCAAGUGAUAGGUAUUGUUCUGGACAAGACAAGGUCUAGGCAUUGUUGGUGUGGACUUGUUUUAGGAUGAUGACCUUCAUCUAAUCAAGGCCACCAUCUAUCUCUGUAGCGGUCUACUUCCAAAGGCGGCGACUUGGUAGUGCAGUGGACAUCAAAAGGGCAGAGGCUUAUUGACAAAAAAGGGCAUUUUUCAAGAAUCGUAGGACAAAACUGUUUUUUUAGGGGAGAGGU
Limulus polyphemus (Atlantic horseshoe crab) is the source of this 319-nucleotide long non-coding RNA. RefSeq lists it as uncharacterized. The record is from RefSeq and is a predicted model, not a curated record. NCBI's taxonomy places the organism in Eukaryota, Metazoa, Arthropoda, Merostomata, Xiphosura, Limulidae. The transcript is spliced from 3 exons.